AGCGUGUUCCACAGAGUCUCAUCAGGCACUGUUCAGGUGAGCAGUAUUUCUCUUAACAAUCAGAAGGUAAUGUGAUGAUACUGUAACCAAAAGUAUUAGCCUAUCGCUAUCUUUACUUACUUAUCCUUUCCUCUUAAGGUUUGGUUUUAGGCAGGUUGUGAAUCUGCUUGGAACAAAAGGUUAGCUCUGCUCUAGCCAGGAUACAUUUCUCCUGGCACCAGUCAUCCAAGCUGCCCUCGGAAAUGGCGCGAAAUUGCGCUCUAGUCGAACUGUUUACGCCUGCCAUGUUGGCGCAGUAGUUGAACUGUUUCCGCCCGCCAUGUUGGCGAGGUAGUUGAACUGUUUCCGCCCGCCAUGUUGGCGCGGUAGUUAAACUGUUUCCGCCCGCCAAGUUGGUGCUACCUUGUUUAUUUUGCUAACAGGAUUGCUGCUGCUGCUCCUGUAGCAUUUCCCAAACAGGCUGGUCAGUGAAAAAAGUUCGUCUGUUGAGUGCUGUCAGGGUUUGUCCCUAAAUUUUGUGAAGACUAAACUGGAAGAAAAGAGGAAUCGGUUGGCAGACUGGGACCUCCUGCGUCACAUCUUCACUAAGGGCAAGCCAAAGGCUGACAGCUUUGUUUGUGUUCUCCACUAAGUGAUUUUUAAUCAACUGGUCUGCAUGAGUCCUCCCAAGGGCCUGAGCGGCAGAGGCUGUGAGAGAUUGAGCAGAGGGCUGGUGGAUGGCUGGCCGGAGAUAGUAGAGACAGACAAAGUGGCAUUUCCUGACUGUUCCCAUCCCCGUCUGAGUUAUCUGACACCCAAAAAUACGGCUAACGGGGAAGCAGGGAGACGAGGCACCCACAGCCUUAUCCCGGAACAAGGUUUCAGAGCGAUGAUAACUUUUCGAGAGGAUGAGAGGAUGCACCAUCAAAACUGCAGUUCAGGCCACGUCCUUGCACAUCCAGCCUGCCUCUCUGCCCCCUAUCCACCUGCUCCUCUCUCCCUGCUGCCUUACCUGUACUCACCUGUGUCUGUCUGUGCAGCAAAGUGUCCACCACGGCUAUCACCAGUGGACAUGGAUCACCGAGGGGGCCUGUGAUUAACAGAUAGCACCUUGUCUCCUCCGCUGGCAGGCCAUCAUUACGACGAGCACUAGAAGAUAGGUUCUGUGGGAGAAAAGACCUUUUGGAAAAUGUCAGCGACAGUCAAAGCCCCAAAUUUUCCUCCAUUCACUCUUUACCAUGUGAUGCUACCUACUCUAAACCCCUUAAUUACACCACCCCAUCUUUCCUAUCGCCUAAUGUUUUGUAUCUAAGUACAGUGUCUGAUUUCAGAGCAUGUGGAGAUUUUAUUUUGUCUUAUGUGGCUUACCUGAAGAUUUAAAAAAACGAAAAAAAAAAAAAAAAAAAAAAAAAGCCCUAUAUUUCACCCAUAUCAGCAAAACCAAGCACUAUCAAACAAACAAAAAAACAGCAGUGUCUGCAACAGCUCCCCUUCCCCUUCCCCAGUCCCUUUCACUGGAGCCAGCUUCACUGUCUUAAUACUCUUAGUCCCUCAGUUGGCAUGUUUUCCAAGAACGCCGCUGCAUUUCCAGAUUUGUAAAAUCCGUCAAAAUGCCUGUAAUGAAUAUUUCUACAGCCUUGAUUGUGUUUAAUAUGCUGUUUGACCAGCCCAAUAAGAAACAUGUACUGAUCUGGCACCAGAGGGACCGCAGCAUCAGUAGAAGGUUUAUUGUCCGGGAAAAAAAAAACAAAAAAAAAACGUCUGGACUGUCUUUUAUCAAGUGAAGCAGAAACAUUUAUUAUUCAGAUAAUCUCUUCUUUCCUGUGCAUGAAUCUACAUGUCAUUUGUCAUUUGAAUUUUUUUUUAAAAGCUACUACUAUUAGUACAGUUGUCUUCAUGGAUUAACUGUCAUCUUGUGAGACAGGUCUUUGUUUCUCUACACCUACAUUGUACAGUCUGUUUUACUGUUGUUUUAGCUUUGCUGGAGAAAAAAAAAAAAACUCCUUUGCAUUUUAUUGCUGCUUAAGAAUAAAAUGUAGAGCUUUCCUGUCUUUUUCUUUUUCAAUUUAGGAGGUAAAUUAAUACCUCAAAGCGAGAAGUUAUGGAAAAGUUUUAACAUUUAAACCGUGUAUUAAUUUCAAGGCCUAAAUGCGCCCUCAAUUAUUUUACCAUUGCCCCUAAGUAAUUGAUUUUAGGUAGAGAAAGAGGGAGGAGGAGGAGGAGGGGGUGAUCUGUGUGUUAAAUCUGUGUGAAAACCGCAAAGCCAACAAAUGAAAAAUAACUAACGGCGUAAUUGCUGUGAGCAUUGUAACCUUGCUUUAUUGAUUUUUUUUUUUUUCAUCAAGGCAUUUGGCUUACAUCAAAGUUAGACCCAUAAUAACACAAGUUGUUUCACGGCUGCCUCUAAUAAUUUCACAUUUUGUUCCCUCGCUCAGCCUCUCGCUCUAUCAUUGACUCAUUCAGGUGUGUUCAAACCAGCCACACAAAGAUGAACACUUGUGAGGCUCGGGGUCCGGCGGUGUGUGGUGUGUGGUGUGUGAACGCGGUGAACAGACACAGACAGAACCUGCACGGGGACGAGAUAAUGAGCAUCUCAGGUGACUACACGCGGUGAUUACCAGGUUGCUGGUGUUAUAGGAACUAUAUCACAUAAACAUGCGCUACCGCUCUGUGCACACGCACACACAUUCAGAUGCACACUCGUGCACACACACACACUCUUGAGAGAUCCUUGGUUAUCACACCCUUCCAGAUUGUUCUGAACUACUUAUGGAAAACACACACACAUCUCAAGAUGUGGCCACUCUUGCCAAUAUGAGCCCAGUGUUAAGAACAGUUGUUGUCGUUGUCGUCGUGUGGUGUUUUUUUUAGCAUCUCUAAAUUCCUAGCGUUGCUAAGGUGCUUUGGGAGGGGAUUAACAGAGGCUGGCGCCGAUGAGCAAGCCUUGCAGAUUUCCAACCAGCAGGAAAAAGACAAAGAAAGAGGGGAAAGACGGAGGAAAAAACAGGAGAGGGUUAGACAACAGGGAAAUGGCAGGAACAGCUUGUGUAAACACGAUGACUUGAGAGAGGUAAAGAGGUAGAGAUGAAUGAGCGACGGAAAGUGAGACUAAAUAAUAAGUAUCCUAAAGAAGAUGCCUCAACUUUCACACUCUCUGUGUCCUUUUCCUCUCAAAUCUACAAUGUGUUCAUCUCCUCACUCUCUUUUCAUGUGCUCCUUCCUCUCCUCUCUGUUUCUUCCCAUCUCUUUAUUUCCCCCCACGGGCAACAGUUUCAGAUCCAGACACUUUUGUCUCCCUUUUCUCUCUGUCACAACUUCAAACAGCGCCGGCGUUCAGGUCAUGCUGAUGUGCCCGGAGCAUCGGUGACUGUGCCGUCUCAGGUGUACGUCUCCCAGCGUGUCCUUGAUGACACUCUCUCCCUUUCUCCCGUCUCGCUGCUUUUAAUUAGUGUAGUGAGCAGUGGAGGCAGCAAAGACAGCUGAGCCACAUUUACCAAUUAUCGACCUGCUCGUAGGUACCUCUGCCACCGCAUUUCAAUGCUUUUAAUACUUCUGCAGCUGGGAAAAAAAAAAAAACAUAAUUACACAUGAACUGAGCCAGAAGAAUGGAGAAUGUCUUGAUUCUCACUCUCUAAAUCCCUGGAUACUUGUUCAGAGAACAAAUCAGAGUGUGUUUUUCUCAAAGUAAAAUCUCCAUUAGCCAGAGCAGGCACACCAAAGGGAGGGUCCACAUGCUUUUCUUAGAAUCCUCUCCUCAGGCUCGCCGUCUCAGGUAGAGUGUAACUGGAUGCGGCCUGUUUGUGGAAUACAAGGCACUUGACCAAGGGCCAGCACUGCUCCUCCCUCCCCUC
This 3830-nucleotide long non-coding RNA is filed under the name Sparus aurata (gilthead seabream). RNAcentral's name for it is "lncRNA (ENSSAUG00010021305.1)". Lineage: Eukaryota; Metazoa; Chordata; Actinopteri; Spariformes; Sparidae. The record is from RNAcentral.